GCCGGUGUGAUGCAAUUGGCAGACAUCAACGCCUUAGAAGCGUUGUCUUGGUGGUUCAAAUCCACUCACCGGCA
RNAcentral lists this transfer RNA (74 nucleotides) under Candidatus Obscuribacterales bacterium. RNAcentral describes it as "tRNA-Leu". It matches the Rfam family "tRNA". Rfam says of the family: Transfer RNA (tRNA) molecules are approximately 80 nucleotides in length. Their secondary structure includes four short double-helical elements and three loops (D, anti-codon, and T loops). Further hydrogen bonds mediate the characteristic L-shaped molecular structure. tRNAs have two regions of fundamental functional importance: the anti-codon, which is responsible for specific mRNA codon recognition, and the 3' end, to which the tRNAs corresponding amino acid is attached (by aminoacyl-tRNA synthetases). tRNAs cope with the degeneracy of the genetic code in two manners: having more than one tRNA (with a specific anti-codon) for a particular amino acid; and 'wobble' base-pairing, i.e. permitting non-standard base-pairing at the 3rd anti-codon position. Lineage: Bacteria; Bacillati; Candidatus Melainabacteria; Candidatus Obscuribacterales. The record is from RNAcentral.